AUUGAACGCUGGCGGCAUGCUUUACACAUGCAAGUCGAACGGUAACAGGUCUUCGGAUGCUGACUAGUGGCGCACGGGUGAGUAAUACAUCUGAACGUGCCUAGUAGUGGGGGAUAACUACUCGAAAGAGUAGCUAAUACCGCAUGAGAUCUACGGAUGAAAGCAUGGGACCUUCUGGCCUUGUGCUACUAGAGCGGCUGAUGGCAGAUUAGGUAGUUGGUGGGGUAAAGGCUUACCAAGCCUGCGAUCUGUAGCUGGUCUGAGAGGACGACCAGCCACACUGGGACUGAGACACGGCCCAGACUCCUACGGGAGGCAGCAGUGGGGAAUUUUGGACAAUGGGCGAAAGCCUGAUCCAGCAAUGCCGCGUGCAGGAUGAAGGCCCUCGGGUUGUAAACUGCUUUUGUACGGAACGAAAAGCCUGGGGCUAAUAUCCCCGGGUCAUGACGGUACCGUAAGAAUAAGCACCGGCUAACUACGUG
Molecule: ribosomal RNA, 482 nt
Filed under: uncultured bacterium
Lineage: Bacteria
Description: partial 16S ribosomal RNA
Rfam family: Bacterial small subunit ribosomal RNA
Source: RNAcentral